This 253-nucleotide ribosomal RNA is filed under the name uncultured bacterium. Its description in RNAcentral is "partial 16S ribosomal RNA". It matches the Rfam family "Bacterial small subunit ribosomal RNA", at positions 524 to 776 of the family's 1533-position model. The record is from RNAcentral.
GACGGAGGGUGCCAGCGUUAUUCGGAUUUAUUGGGCGUAAAGCGCGUGUAGGCGGCCGGCCAAGUCUGAUGUGAAAGCCCGGGGCUUAACCUCGGAAGGGCGUUGGAAACUGGUUGGCUUGAGUUCGGGAGAGGAAAGCGGAAUUCCGGGUGUAGAGGUGAAAUUCGUAGAUAUCCGGAGGAACACCGGUGGCGAAGGCGGCUUUCUGGACCGAAACUGACGCUGAGACGCGAAAGCGUGGGGAGCAAACAGG